This is a non-coding RNA of Salmo salar (Atlantic salmon), 46 nucleotides long. The record is from Rfam. NCBI's taxonomy places the organism in Eukaryota, Metazoa, Chordata, Actinopteri, Salmoniformes, Salmonidae.
CCAAAGGCUCUUUUAAGAGCCACCCACAUUGGAAUAAAAUAGCAUU